Molecule: ribosomal RNA, 498 nt
Filed under: uncultured bacterium
Lineage: Bacteria
Description: partial 16S ribosomal RNA
Rfam family: Bacterial small subunit ribosomal RNA
Source: RNAcentral
AUUGAACGCUGGCGGCAUGCCUUACACAUGCAAGUCGAACGGCAGCACGGGGCAACCUGGUGGCGAGUGGCGAACGGGUGAGUAAUGCAUCGGAACGUACCUUUCAGUGGGGGAUAACGUAGCGAAAGUUACGCUGAUACCGCAUAUUCUGUGAGCAGGAAAGCAGGGGAUCGCAAGACCUUGCGCUGAUUGAGCGGCCGAUGUCAGAUUAGCUAGUUGGUGAGGUAAAGGCUCACCAAGGCGACGAUCUGUAGCGGGUCUGAGAGGAUGAUCCGCCACACUGGAACUGAGACACGGUCCAGACUCCUACGGGAGGCAGCAGUGGGGAAUUUUGGACAAUGGGGGCAACCCUGAUCCAGCCAUGCCGCGUGAGUGAAGAAGGCCUUCGGGUUGUAAAGCUCUUUCGGCCGGGGAGAAAUCGCACGGGCUAAUACCCUGUGUGGAUGACGGUACCGGAAUAAGAAGCACCGGCUAACUACGUGCCAGCAGCCGCCGUAA